RNAcentral lists this ribosomal RNA (262 nucleotides) under uncultured bacterium. RNAcentral describes it as "partial 16S ribosomal RNA". It matches the Rfam family "Bacterial small subunit ribosomal RNA", at positions 515 to 776 of the family's 1533-position model. The record is from RNAcentral.
CCGCGGUAAUACGUAGGGUGCAAGCGUUAAUCGGAAUUACUGGGCGUAAAGGGUGCGCAGGCGGUUUGGCAAGAAAGAUGUGAAAUCCCAGGGCUUAACCUUGGAACUGCAUUUUUAACUGCCAGGCUAGAGUGCGUCAGAGGGGGGUAGAAUUCCACGUGUAGCAGUGAAAUGCGUAGAGAUGUGGAGGAAUACCGAUGGCGAAGGCAGCCCCCUGGGAUGACACUGACGCUCAGGCACGAAAGCGUGGGGAGCAAACAGG